RNAcentral lists this ribosomal RNA (1487 nucleotides) under Bacillus aeolius. RNAcentral's name for it is "bacterial SSU rRNA". It matches the Rfam family "Bacterial small subunit ribosomal RNA". Lineage: Bacteria; Bacillati; Bacillota; Bacilli; Caryophanales; Bacillaceae. The record is from RNAcentral.
GCUCAGGACGAACGCUGGCGGCGUGCCUAAUACAUGCAAGUCGAGCGAACGGAUGGAGAGCUUGCUCUCCUGACGUUAGCGGCGGACGGGUGAGUAACACGUGGGCAACCUGCCUGUAAGACCGGGAUAACUUCGGGAAACCGGAGCUAAUACCGGAUAAUUCCUUUCCUCGCAUGAGGAAAGGUUGAAAGGCGGCUUCGGCUGUCACUUACAGAUGGGCCCGCGGCGCAUUAGCUAGUUGGUGAGGUAACGGCUCACCAAGGCGACGAUGCGUAGCCGACCUGAGAGGGUGAUCGGCCACACUGGGACUGAGACACGGCCCAGACUCCUACGGGAGGCAGCAGUAGGGAAUCUUCCGCAAUGGACGAAAGUCUGACGGAGCAACGCCGCGUGAGCGAUGAAGGUCUUCGGAUCGUAAAGCUCUGUUGUUAGGGAAGAACAAGUACCGUUCGAAUAGGGCGGUACCUUGACGGUACCUAACCAGAAAGCCACGGCUAACUACGUGCCAGCAGCCGCGGUAAUACGUAGGUGGCAAGCGUUGUCCGGAAUUAUUGGGCGUAAAGCGCGCGCAGGCGGUCUCUUAAGUCUGAUGUGAAAGCCCACGGCUCAACCGUGGAGGGUCAUUGGAAACUGGGAGACUUGAGUGCAGAAGAGGAGAGCGGAAUUCCAUGUGUAGCGGUGAAAUGCGUAGAGAUAUGGAGGAACACCAGUGGCGAAGGCGGCUCUCUGGUCUGUAACUGACGCUGAGGCGCGAAAGCGUGGGGAGCAAACAGGAUUAGAUACCCUGGUAGUCCACGCCGUAAACGAUGAGUGCUAAGUGUUAGAGGGUUUCCGCCCUUUAGUGCUGCAGCUAACGCAUUAAGCACUCCGCCUGGGGAGUACGGCCGCAAGGCUGAAACUCAAAGGAAUUGACGGGGGCCCGCACAAGCGGUGGAGCAUGUGGUUUAAUUCGAAGCAACGCGAAGAACCUUACCAGGUCUUGACAUCCUCUGCUACCUCUAGAGAUAGAGGGUUCCCCUUCGGGGGACGGAGUGACAGGUGGUGCAUGGUUGUCGUCAGCUCGUGUCGUGAGAUGUUGGGUUAAGUCCCGCAACGAGCGCAACCCUUGACCUUAGUUGCCAGCAUUCAGUUGGGCACUCUAAGGUGACUGCCGGUGACAAACCGGAGGAAGGUGGGGAUGACGUCAAAUCAUCAUGCCCCUUAUGACCUGGGCUACACACGUGCUACAAUGGGUGGUACAAAGGGCUGCGAUGCCGCGAGGCUGAGCCAAUCCCAAAAAACCACUCUCAGUUCGGAUUGCAGGCUGCAACUCGCCUGCAUGAAGCCGGAAUCGCUAGUAAUCGCGGAUCAGCAUGCCGCGGUGAAUACGUUCCCGGGCCUUGUACACACCGCCCGUCACACCACGAGAGUUUGCAACACCCGAAGUCGGUGGGGUAACCCUUACGGGAGCCAGCCGCCUAAGGUGGGGCAGAUGAUUGGGGUGAAGU